CUUUGGGGGACAUUAAGAUCCAAAUCAUAACAUACAACCUUACUGAGUCUGAUUUUCUGAAGAGUAUACAGUGGAGUGGUCCUAAGGCUAAAUGGUGUGUGACUUCCUAGCAGAUUGAAUGGAGAAGCAGACAAGAGACCCCUAAGUGUCUUCUAGUAAACUGAUAUGAAUAAGAUCUGCAACAA
Molecule: non-coding RNA, 185 nt
Organism: Ictidomys tridecemlineatus (thirteen-lined ground squirrel)
Lineage: Eukaryota; Metazoa; Chordata; Mammalia; Rodentia; Sciuridae
Source: RefSeq, a predicted model, not a curated record